RNAcentral lists this signal recognition particle RNA (301 nucleotides) under Vombatus ursinus (common wombat). RNAcentral describes it as "Metazoan signal recognition particle RNA (ENSVURG00010024534.1)". It matches the Rfam family "Metazoan signal recognition particle RNA". From Rfam's summary of the family: The signal recognition particle (SRP) is a universally conserved ribonucleoprotein. Lineage: Eukaryota; Metazoa; Chordata; Mammalia; Diprotodontia; Vombatidae. The record is from Rfam by way of RNAcentral.
AGAUGCAGUGGUACACACCUAUAAUUCCUGCUGCUGGGAAACUGAAGUGGGUGGCUUACUUGAGCUUUUUGGGAGUUCUGACUCAUGGUAGGCUAAGCUGAUUGGAUGUUUGCACCACAUCUGGCACUAACAUGGUAAACCCUUGGGAUGGGGGGGGCACCAGGCUGCCCAAGGAGGGGAAAAGUGGUCCAGGUUGGAAAUGGAGCAGAUCAGUGCCUCCAUGUCAACCAGCAGUGAGACUGGGCAUCUUGAGUGGCCAAUGUACUUCCAACCUGGAUGAUAUAGGGAGACCCAAUCUCAA